GACGAACGCUGGCGGCGUGCCUAAUACAUGCAAGUUGAGCGAUGAAGAUUGGUGCUUGCACCAAUUUGAAGAGCAGCGAACGGGUGAGUAACGCGUGGGGAAUCUGCCUUUGAGCGGGGGACAACAUUUGGAAACGAAUGCUAAUACCGCAUAACAACUUUAAACAUAAGUUUUAAGUUUGAAAGAUGCAAUUGCAUCACUCAAAGAUGAUCCCGCGUUGUAUUAGCUAGUUGGUGAGGUAAAGGCUCACCAAGGCGAUGAUACAUAGCCGACCUGAGAGGGUGAACGGCCACAAUGGGACUGGGACACGGCCCAAACUCCUACGGGAGGCAGCAGGAGGGAAUCUUCGGCAAUGGACGAAAGGCUGACCGAGCAACGCCGCGUGAGUGAAGAAGGGUUUCGGAUCGUAAAACUCUGUUGGUAGAGAAGAACGUUGGUGAGAGUGGAAAGCUCAUCAAGUGACGGUAACUACCCAGAAAGGGACGGCUAACUACGUG
This 497-nucleotide ribosomal RNA is filed under the name uncultured bacterium. Its description in RNAcentral is "partial 16S ribosomal RNA". It matches the Rfam family "Bacterial small subunit ribosomal RNA", at positions 28 to 507 of the family's 1533-position model. The record is from RNAcentral.